This 852-nucleotide long non-coding RNA is filed under the name Homo sapiens (human). RNAcentral's name for it is "HSALNT0380379". The record is from RNAcentral. Lineage: Eukaryota; Metazoa; Chordata; Mammalia; Primates; Hominidae.
AGAGCUAGAAGGGCAAUUGAAGUGUGAACAUACCAGGAAAGCUCAGGGAAAGUGGUUCCCGAAACCAUCUUUCCCAUAGCUUGUCUCUUGGGAUGGGCUUUUCCACAGUGACGUGAUUCAGUGUGAUUGCAUGCUUAUGUGUUUACAACCAGCAGGCACAGGGCUGCCACUGACUACACGAUGAUGGGAGGAUGGACGCCGCCUUCAGGAGCUGGAGGAGCAGAAGACGUGAACAAAGUGGAGAUGAAGAGAGUCCUUCCAUCCAUCUGCUGGACCUGCUGGGCCUCAGGGCUUUCUCUGAAGUGGUAGGGGGAAGAUGUCACAGAGGAAAUGUAAAGAAAAGUCUACCUCGGCAGUCUACAGCGUGGUGGAUAAAAAAAGAGCAGGAAGAGUCUGGCGAGGCGAUCAGCCUGAUGUAGUACCUGAGGAAGGCAAGAAAGGAUAUAAAGAAAAUAAGAAACAACACUUUCUCUGCACAUCCAAAUUGUGGCAAGGAUUUUUGCAGAUUGCCACCAGUUCACUGAGAGGAGUCAUUGAAAACAUGGCAUUGAGGACAGAGACUGCCACUUCAGAAUUUUCUACAUCCAACUGCUGAAGCCACUCGAAGAUAUUUCCCUCAGAGAACCAUAACCAGCUUUGGAGAAGAUGCUUCCACAUAGCUUGUUUCACAGCAUCUCAUCUCUCAUUAAAACCUUGUUGAGGGAGCAUUACUGUCUGAGCAAUGGACAUAGCUCUCAUACGAACCUUUUCAGCUAACACCGGAUAAGCCAGCUUUCUGACAGCCUCUUUCACAUCCUUGGUGCACCCUACAAUUUUUGGCAAAGUCUUUGCUGAUGGUGCAAUACAUGAUAA